ACGUUAAUCGGGGCAGGGUGAGUCGACCCCUAAGGCGAGGCCGAAAGGCGUAGUCGAUGGGAAACGGGUUAAUAUUCCCGUACUUGGUGUUACUGCGAAGGGGGGACGGAGAAGGCUAUGUUGGCCGGGCGACGGUUGUCCCGGUUUAAGCGUGUAGGUGUGUGUUCCAGGUAAAUCCGGUUCACUUUAACACUGAGGCGUGAUGACGAGGCACUACGGUGCUGAAGCAACAAAUGCCCUGCUUCCAGGAAAAGCCUCUAAGCAUCAGGUAACAUCAAAUCGUACCCCAAACCGACACAGGUGGUCAGGUAGAGAAUACCAAGGCGCUUGAGAGAACUCGGGUGAAGGAACUAGGCAAAAUGGUGCCGUAACUUCGGGAGAAGGCACGCUGACACGUAGGUGAAGUGAUUUACUCAUGGAGCUGAAGUCAGUCGAAGAUACCAGCUGGCUGCAACUGUUUAUUAAAAACACAGCACUGUGCAAACACGAAAGUGGACGUAUACGGUGUGACGCCUGCCCGGUGCCGGAAGGUUAAUUGAUGGGGUCAGCGCAAGCGAAGCUCCUGAUCGAAGCCCCGGUAAACGGCGGCCGUAACUAUAACGGUCCUAAGGUAGCGAAAUUCCUUGUCGGGUAAGUUCCGACCUGCACGAAUGGCGUAAUGAUGGCCAGGCUGUCUCCACCCGAGACUCAGUGAAAUUGAACUCGCUGUGAAGAUGCAGUGUACCCGCGGCAAGACGGAAAGACCCCGUGAACCUUUACUAUAGCUUGACACUGAACAUUGAGCCUUGAUGUGUAGGAUAGGUGGGAGGCUUUGAAGUGUGGACGCCAGUCUGCAUGGAGCCGGCCUUGAAAUACCACCCUUUAAUGUUUGAUGUUCUAACGUGGACCCGUGAUCCGGGUUGCGGACAGUGUCUGGUGGGUAGUUUGACUGGGGCGGUCUCCUCCUAAAGAGUAACGGAGGAGCACGAAGGUUGGCUAAUCCUGGUCGGACAUCAGGAGGUUAGUGCAAUGGCAUAAGCCAGCUUGACUGCGAGCGUGACGGCGCGAGCAGGUGCGAAAGCAGGUCAUAGUGAUCCGGUGGUUCUGAAUGGAAGGGCCAUCGCUCAACGGAUAAAAGGUACUCCGGGGAUAACAGGCUGAUACCGCCCAAGAGUUCAUAUCGACGGCGGUGUUUGGCACCUCGAUGUCGGCUCAUCACAUCCUGGGGCUGAAGUAGGUCCCAAGGGUAUGGCUGUUCGCCAUUUAAAGUGGUACGCGAGCUGGGUUUAGAACGUCGUGAGACAGUUCGGUCCCUAUCUGCCGUGGGCGCUGGAGAACUGAGGGGGGCUGCUCCUAGUACGAGAGGACCGGAGUGGACGCAUCACUGGUGUUCGGGUUGUCAUGCCAAUGGCACUGCCCGGUAGCUAAAUGCGGAAGAGAUAAGUGCUGAAAGCAUCUAAGCACGAAACUUGCCCCGAGAUGAGUUCUCCCUGAGACUUUAGGUCUCCUGAAGGAACGUUGAAGACGACGACGUUGAUAGGCCGGGUGUGUAAGCGCAGCGAUGCGUUGAGCUAACCGGUACUAAUGAACCGUGAGGCUUAACCUUACA
This 1588-nucleotide ribosomal RNA is filed under the name Salmonella enterica. RNAcentral describes it as "partial 23S ribosomal RNA". It matches the Rfam family "Bacterial large subunit ribosomal RNA", at positions 1362 to 2925 of the family's 2925-position model. Lineage: Bacteria; Pseudomonadati; Pseudomonadota; Gammaproteobacteria; Enterobacterales; Enterobacteriaceae. The record is from RNAcentral.